This 468-nucleotide ribosomal RNA is filed under the name uncultured bacterium. RNAcentral's name for it is "partial 16S ribosomal RNA". It matches the Rfam family "Bacterial small subunit ribosomal RNA", at positions 28 to 507 of the family's 1533-position model. The record is from RNAcentral.
GACGAACGCUGGCGGCGUGCUUAACACAUGCAAGUCGAACGGAAAGGCCCUGCUUUUGUGGGGUGCUCGAGUGGCGAACGGGUGAGUAACACGUGAGUAACCUGCCCUUGACUUUGGGAUAACUUCAGGAAACUGGGGCUAAUACCGGAUAGGAGCUCCUGCUGCAUGGUGGGGGUUGGAAAGAUUCGGCGGUUGGGGAUGGACUCGCGGCUUAUCAGCUUGUUGGUGGGGUAGUGGCUUACCAAGGCUUUGACGGGUAGGCGGCCUGGGAGGGUGGCCGGCCACAUUGGGACUGGGAUACGGCCCAGACUCCUACGGGAGGCAGCAGGGGGGAAUAUUGCACAAUGGGCGGAAGCCUGAUGCAGCAACGCCGCGUGCGGGAUAACGGCCUUCGGGUUGUAAACCGCUUUCGCCUGUGACAAAGCGUGAGUGACGGUAAUGGGUAAAGAAGCAACGGCUAACUACGUG